RNAcentral lists this unclassified non-coding RNA (329 nucleotides) under soil metagenome. Its description in RNAcentral is "partial contains 5.8S ribosomal RNA, internal transcribed spacer 2, and large subunit ribosomal RNA". The stretch from base 1 to 120 matches the Rfam family "5.8S ribosomal RNA", at positions 35 to 154 of the family's 154-position model. The record is from RNAcentral.
GAUGAAGAACGUAGCGAAAUGCGAUAAGUAGUGUGAAUUGCAGAAUUCAGUGAAUCAUCGAAUCUUUGAACGCACAUUGCGCCCCUUGGUAUCCCGAGGGGCAUGCCUGUUCGAGCGUCAUUUCACCACUCAAGCCUGGCUUGGUGUUGGGCGACGUCCUCUUUGGGGACGCGCCUCGAAACGCUCGGCGGCGUGGCACCGGCUUUAAGCGUAGCAGAAUCUUUCGCUUUGGAAGUCGGGGCCCCGUCUGCCGGAAGACCUGCUCGCAAGGUUGACCUCGGAUCAGGUAGGACUACCCGCUGAACUUAAGCAUAUCAAUAAGCGGAGGA